Molecule: long non-coding RNA, 589 nt
Organism: Lycium barbarum (goji berry)
Lineage: Eukaryota; Viridiplantae; Streptophyta; Magnoliopsida; Solanales; Solanaceae
Exons: 3
Source: RefSeq, a predicted model, not a curated record
UCCACUUCAUUUUCUAUUUCAAGAAUCAAUGUUCAUCUUUGGAAGAGUGCAAAACGUUGCUAUCAAUUCUUAUGCACUUUGAAUAAGCAAAUUGAUAGAAGUUGCUUACGGUUGUAGCUCAUCUGGAGCCCUCGGCUAAGCGCCAUUUUUUUUGAAAGAAAGAUUAUAAUUUACAGCAAGAAUUUUAAGAGGUCAAGCUUGCUAGUAAGGUUUUUCUUCCAGUUGUUGAGACCUGCGAGCUCGAGAAGUAGACGUUGGACAUUAGAUAGAGUUCAAGGUAGACAGGGAGGUGAGCUUGAUUCAGAUUCUUAGUAGCUGUCAGCUGAUUGAGAGCACUCCAUUGUUCGGUGGUGCUUAUGUUUAUUCCUUUGGUUCCUUUAUGUAUUUCGCGCACGACAGAGUCUUGUUCCGUCUAUAUGUAUAAUAUGUCAGUAGAGGCUCGUAGACGCGCAGUGUGGGUUAGAUGGUCUCACAAGAUUACUAUGUUAUAUUUGUAUAUGUUAUUUUGAUAGCCUAAGGGGCACGUGCAUAUAAAAUUAUUUGUGUUUUCAAACGAAAAAUGGUUGUCUUAUGAUUAUGAGAUUAUGAA